Molecule: ribosomal RNA, 253 nt
Filed under: uncultured bacterium
Lineage: Bacteria
Description: partial 16S ribosomal RNA
Rfam family: Bacterial small subunit ribosomal RNA
Source: RNAcentral
UACGUAGGUGGCAAGCGUUGUCCGGAAUUAUUGGGCGUAAAGCGCGCGCAGGCGGUCCUUUAAGUCUGAUGUGAAAGCCCACGGCUCAACCGUGGAGGGUCAUUGGAAACUGGGGGACUUGAGUACAGAAGAGAAGAGUGGAAUUCCUGGUGUAGCGGUGAAAUGCGCAGAUAUCAGGAAGAACACCCGUGGCUAAGGCGGCUCUCUAGUACGGUACUGACGCUGAAACGCGAAAGCGUGGGGAGCGAACAGG